Non-coding RNA from Biomphalaria pfeifferi, 276 nucleotides. NCBI's taxonomy places the organism in Eukaryota, Metazoa, Mollusca, Gastropoda, Planorbidae. The record is from the annotation of a GenBank genome assembly.
UUUCGGGCAUCCCAGACGUACAGCACCAUCAACCUACUACCCAGUGUUGACAUGCAAGACGAAGGACGCCUCUUUUCCAGAAUCCAUAGCUCUGUAAUUCGUUUUUUUACCUUGACAGCAAAUUCUUGUCCAGUUUUGAAUGGUGCGAAAUAUAGCUUGUUCCACGUCGUACAGACCUGUGACGAGGCAACGAGCUAUUGGUCUCCACUGCCCACAGGUUGUGACGUCGCAGGUCAGUGUUAAGGUCUUCUAUAACGAAGUGUCUCCCUUGAAUAA